GACGAACGCUGGCGGCGUGCCUAAUACAUGCAAGUUGAGCGCUGAAGGUUGGUACUUGUACCAACUGGAUGAGCAGCGAACGGGUGAGUAACGCGUGGGGAAUCUGCCUUUGAGCGGGGGACAACAUUUGGAAACGAAUGCUAAUACCGCAUAAAAACUUUAAACACAAGUUUUAAGUUUGAAAGAUGCAAUUGCAUCACUCAAAGAUGAUCCCGCGUUGUAUUAGCUAGUUGGUGAGGUAAAGGCUCACCAAGGCGAUGAUACAUAGCCGACCUGAGAGGGUGAUCGGCCACAUUGGGACUGAGACACGGCCCAAACUCCUACGGGGGGCACCAGUAGGGAAUUUUCGGCAAUGGAGGAAAUUCUGACCGAGCAACGCCGGGGGAGGGAAGAAGGUUUUCGGAUCGUAAAACUCUGUUGGUAGGGAAAAACGUUGGUGAGAGUGGAAAGCCCAUCAAGUGACGGUAACUACCCAGAAAGGGACGGCUAACUACGU
Molecule: ribosomal RNA, 496 nt
Filed under: uncultured bacterium
Lineage: Bacteria
Description: partial 16S ribosomal RNA
Rfam family: Bacterial small subunit ribosomal RNA
Source: RNAcentral